GAUGAACGCUGGCGGCGUGCCUAAUACAUGCAAGUCGAGCGAACGGACGAGAAGCUUGCUUCUCUGAUGUUAGCGGCGGACGGGUGAGUAACACGUGGAUAACCUACCUAUAAGACUGGGAUAACUUCGGGAAACCGGAGCUAAUACCGGAUAAUAUUUUGAACCGCAUGGUUCAAAAGUGAAAGACGGUCUUGCUGUCACUUAUAGAUGCAUCCGCGCUGCAUUAGCUAGUUGGUAAGGUAACGGCUUACCAAGGCAACGAUGCAUAGCCGACCUGAGAGGGUGAUCGGCCACACUGGAACUGAGACACGGUCCAGACUCCUACGGGAGGCAGCAGUAGGGAAUCUUCCGCAAUGGGCGAAAGCCUGACGGAGCAACGCCGAGUGAGUGAUGAAGGUCUUCGGAUCGUAAAGCUCUGUUAUGAGGGAAGAACAUAUGUGUAAGUAACUGUGCACAUCUUGACGGUACCUAAUCAGAAAGCCACGGCUAACUACGUG
Molecule: ribosomal RNA, 497 nt
Filed under: uncultured bacterium
Lineage: Bacteria
Description: partial 16S ribosomal RNA
Rfam family: Bacterial small subunit ribosomal RNA
Source: RNAcentral